RNAcentral lists this ribosomal RNA (1879 nucleotides) under human gut metagenome. RNAcentral describes it as "bacterial LSU rRNA". It matches the Rfam family "Bacterial large subunit ribosomal RNA", at positions 3 to 1977 of the family's 2925-position model. The record is from RNAcentral.
UCAAGCUACAAAGAGCGCAAGGGGAAUGCCUUGGCACUGGGAGCCGACGAAGGACGUAGCGAUCUACGAUAAGCCACGGUGAGCCGAAAGCAGGCAUCGACCCGUGGAUUUCCGAAUGGGGCAACCUGGCUGAAUAGAACUCAGUCAACAUACGGUGAAUAAAAUAGUCGUAUGUAGGGAACCGCCUGAACUGAAACAUCUAAGUAGGGCGAGGAAAAGAAAUCAACCGAGAUUCCGCAAGUAGUGGCGAGCGAACGCGGAAGAGGCCAAACCGAGAGUAGUAAUACUUUCGGGGUUCGGACAGCGGACGGUAUGCUGAAGGUUAGCAGAAGGACAUGGGACGGUCCACCAAAGAGAGUGAAAGUCUCGUAUGCGAAAACUGAAAGCAGCCAGCUGAAUCCAGAGUACCGCCGGACACGUGAAACCCGGUGGGAAUAUGGGGGGACCAUCCUCCAAGCCUAAAUACUACCCAGUGACCGAUAGCGUAUAGUACUGUGAAGGAAAGGUGAAAAGAACCCCGGGAGGGGAGUGAAAAGAACCUGAAACCUUGUGCUUACAAGCACACAAAGCACGUCAACGUGUGAUGUGGUACCUUUUGUAGAAUGGUCCGGCGAGUGAAUGUAACUGGCGAGGUUAAGUUCUUAAGGAACGGAGCCGAAGCGAAAGCAAGUCUGAAUAGGGCGUCUUAGUCAGUUGUAUUCGACCCGAAACCGGGUGACCUAUCCAUGUCCAGGAUGAAGUUAAGGUAAAACUUGAUGGAGGUCCGAACCCACGGUCGUUGAAAUGCCCGGGGAUGAGAUGUGGAUAGCGGAGAAAUUCCAAUCGAACCCGGAUAUAGCUGGUUCUCUCCGAAAUAGCUUUAGGGCUAGCCUCGACUGAACAUUACCGGAGGUAGAGCACUGAAUGGGCUAGGGGCCGAGAGGUUACUGAACCCUAUCAAACUUCAAAUGCCGGAAAAUGAUAGUCGGGAGUCAGACUGCGUGAGAUAAGUUUCGUAGUCGAAAGGGAAACAGCCCAGACCCACAGCUAAGGUCCCAAAGUACGGUUAAGUGGAAAAGGAUGUGGAGUUGCACAGACAACCAGGAUGUUGGCUUAGAAGCAGCCACUCAUUAAAAGAGUGCGUAAUAGCUCACUGGUCGAGUGACUCUGCGCCGAAAAUUUAACGGGGCUAAAUCGUACACCGAAGCUUGGGAUGCAUCUAUGAUGCAUGGUAGGAGAGCGUUGAAUGCGGGGUGAAGUCAGAGCGAAAGCGCUGGUGGACUGCAUUGAAGUGAGAAUGCCGGAAUGAGUAGCGAGAUUUAUGUGAGAAUCAUAAAGGCCGAAAGACUAAGGUUUCAGAAGGAAGGUUCGUCCGCUUCUGGUUAGCCGGGAGCUAAGGUGAGGCCGAAAGGCGUAGCCGAUGCACAUACGGUGGAGAUUCCGUAGCCGCCGAAACAUUUAAGUAAAGGGACACUUGAGAAGUUCAUAAGCCGGGCGUUGGUAGACCCGGUCGUAAGGGUGCGAAAUUAAGUAGCUGAAGUAUGAAUGGAACAAGGCGAGAAAAGCUUUACGGAAUAUGUCAGGCGCCCGUACCGCAAACCGACACAGGUAGUCAGGAAGAGAAUUCUAAGGCCAACGGGAGAAGGGUAGUUAAGGAACUCGGCAAAUUGACCCCGUAACUUCGGGAUAAGGGGCGGUGCGUAAGCACCCGCAGUGAAUAGGUCCAGGCGACUGUUUAUCAAAAACACAGCUCUCUGCUAAAUCGAAAGAUGACGUAUAGGGGGUGACACCUGCCCGGUGCUGGAAGGUUAAGAGGAGGAGUGCAAGCUCCGAAUUGAAGCCCCAGUAAACGGCGGCCGUAACUAUAACGGUCCUAAGGUAGCGAAAUUCCUUGUCGGGU